CACUCCGCAUGCAAAGUUUGUCCUCGGUGUUUGUCAGCACAUGGUCGCUGUGGGUGGAAGAGCCUGGCCACCCGUGCGUACAGAUCCUACCUCAGAUUGCCGUGUGAUGGCUACUUGUAGUGAACAGCAGCAGACAGAGGGCCUUCCCCCAAAGUUCCCCAUCACCUUGCAUGGUUCCUUUCCAUGGCCAUGGGCUCCUCUUCUCCACAGGGUUGACUCUCGUUUCUUUAAUGGCAUACCCUGAGAUGUCCUGGGGGAAGGCUGGCUGGAGAGACAGCACUCACCACAGAUUCCAUGUGCUGGGCUACACUUCCCCGCUUCCUCUGCAGCUAGAUUGGGGCCCCAUGGCUUGUUCUGCCCAAUGGGCUGAAACCAAGGCAAUCGCGGGUUGAUGUGCCUCCUUGUUUUGCCAUAGGGACUUUGGACGCCCCGUGUUCCAGACGGCAUGCCAAAAGGGGGAGGGUCUCGCAACUCACAGGGCACCUGAUAUGCGCAAGAAAUAAACUUCCUUCUCAAGAUUGCAAUUUCAGUCUUGUCACUGCCACAUGGCCUGGCCUGGCCCCGUGAAUGGUCAGAGCGUCAGAAUUAACGGAGUAAUUGCUAUUCUUGAGCUCUUUAAUGUGAGGAAGGAAGAAGCUGUCUCUGGAGCCACGCGGGGCAGCUGAUUGACGCUUUCCCUGACUGUCAUCAUCCAGCACAGAUGGCACUUCCUGUUUGGUAACACCUCACGUGGGCUUCUUCAUCCCCCACUGACUCUGCCAGUCACCAUCCUACACAGUCAAAUGUGCACAGUAUUAGAAGUUUGCCAAGAGCACAUCCUUGUGUCUGCCAAGGAGUGUCUGUUAGAGGAAGAGUAUUCUAGCAGACGAUGUUCAGAGGAGAAAUGGACCACCCCAGGAGGCAGCAAACCCCUUGUCUCUGAGUUUCCUCAUUUGAGAACGGGAAGAAAGAUACUGACCCACCUUGAAGAAUUUCCGUGAGGACCCAGUAAGAAGACGGGCUGAAAGCAUUUCGAAAACCCUACAAAGACCAAAGUUGUCAUUUCAAGAAGGAAUUCAUUCCGCGGCAGAUAAGUCGCCCAGUUUCGAAUCUUGCUUCUACCUGUCUCCAGCUGCGUGUCCAAGGACGAAAUGGAGUAUUUUCUUUUUUGAGAAUUUGUUUUCCAUCUUUAAAAUGGGAGCAAAAGGAAUAUCCACCUCUUAGCAUUUCUGCGAAGAUGGUGUGAAAUUGUGAGCAAGACCAUUCGUUCGCUGAGGAUUCCCUGUUUCUAUCAGCAACCAUGUAACCAUGCUGUGUUUGGACCAUGCGUGGACAAGGAUGCCUGUAACAUAUAUGGAUUUGUCUAGGCAGCGGGACUCUGACUUCAGAUAGGAGUGUGUGCCGUGGGCUAGGCUGCCGGCAGGUUCAGUCCAAGAGGCAGCCUGCCACAUGAGGAAUGUUUCUGCGUCAUUUCCAAAACAUCUGUGGAAGAUGUCGCUCCGGGCCACCAGUGCGAAAGACCAUGAGAAAACGGCCCGAGCCCUUGAGGAAAGGCGCUCUUUCAUGGUGCAUUGGGGUUUGUGAUGUCAGAGCACGAGAGUUGUGUGGUUCACUUUUUGCUUUGGCUUUCCAGAGACCUCGGGCGAAAUUAUACGCUCAGUUGAAAUAACUAUCGCCAUUAAUUAAGAUUCUUUGGGUUACAAGUGGCAGAAACCCAGCCCAGACACCUUCAAAUAAAAAGAUAAUUUAUCAGGUUAAGUAAGUGCAGAUGGCUUCAGAGAUGGCUGGGUUCAAGGGCUUCAUGUUACCAGGGCUCCCUUGUAGAUAGGCUUUUCUACAAGGCAGUCCCAUACCUUAAACUGCCCGCAAAAGCACAUCCUACAAGGUUAGCAACGCCAGCAGAAAGAAUCUUUUCCACCAGCCUUGUUGGCAAAUCCUGCUUGGCAGAUAGGCUCGUUUUUGAACUAAUAGAGGGGCCAGAGACUUGGGGGUACUCUGACUGGUUAAAUCUGGGCCAUGGUGACCCUCCCUGUAGGUGGGAAGGGGGCCCAACUUAGCACCACCCUAAGCACAUGGAAUAUAUUCCCUAUUGGAAAUAUGGGGUGAGGGAAACUAGGCCAGUAGACGUCUACUUUAGCCUGGGAUUCUGGCAUAGCUUUCUGUU
Molecule: long non-coding RNA, 2143 nt
Organism: Acinonyx jubatus (cheetah)
Lineage: Eukaryota; Metazoa; Chordata; Mammalia; Carnivora; Felidae
Exons: 5
Source: RefSeq, a predicted model, not a curated record